RNAcentral lists this ribosomal RNA (433 nucleotides) under uncultured bacterium. RNAcentral describes it as "partial 16S ribosomal RNA". It matches the Rfam family "Bacterial small subunit ribosomal RNA", at positions 29 to 507 of the family's 1533-position model. The record is from RNAcentral.
AGCGAACGCUGGCGGCAGGCUUAACACAUGCAAGUCGAGCGGGCCCUUCGGGGUCAGCGGCAGACGGGUGAGUAACGCGUGGGAACGUGCCCUUCGGUUCGGAAUAACUCAGGGAAACUUGAGCUAAUACCGGAUACGCCCUUAUGGGGAAAGGCUUGCUGCCGAAGGAUCGGCCCGCGUCUGAUUAGCUAGUUGGUGAGGUUAUGGCUCACCAAGGCGACGAUCAGUAGCUGGUCUGAGAGGAUGAUCAGCCACACUGGGACUGAGACACGGCCCAGACUCCUACGGGAGGCAGCAGUGGGGAAUAUUGGACAAUGGGGGCAACCCUGAUCCAGCCAUGCCGCGUGAGUGAUAACGGCCUUAGGGUUGUAAAGCUCUUUUCUCCGGGACGAUAAUGACGGUACCGGAGGAAUAAGCCCCGGCUAACUUCGUG